AUGCUCACUUCGACAGCACAUAUUGUAAGACUGGAAUGAUACAAAGAAGAUUAACAUGGCCCCUGCACAAGGAUGACACAAAGAAUGUGAAAAUAUGAAAUAAUAAAU
Suncus etruscus (white-toothed pygmy shrew) is the source of this 108-nucleotide small nuclear RNA. NCBI's taxonomy places the organism in Eukaryota, Metazoa, Chordata, Mammalia, Eulipotyphla, Soricidae. The record is from RefSeq and is a predicted model, not a curated record.